AUGCCGGCGGCCGCCGAUGAGGAAACGACCAACCGUUUCAUCUUGGAGAACAUCAUCUUCGACGGUGGUACGACGGCCGCUGCCUCCGCUGGCAAUGCCGCCGUGGCUGCGUACGAUCCCGAGGAGACCCCAAGCCAGUACGCCCGAACGCCGGUCGCCUAUGAUCAAGCUGUCGUGCAGGACACCUUCAUGCGAGAUCAGGUCGGCUUGGACCUUGACGGCUUCCCGCUCGACCACGAGUUUCCGGAGGACUACGCGGCCUCGAGGAAGAGGAUGAGUUGGACAUCAACGGGAGCCUUUGUUCGAGACCGAGGUCGCCAAACAAGCCACUGA
Molecule: ribosomal RNA, 333 nt
Filed under: Triticum aestivum (bread wheat)
Lineage: Eukaryota; Viridiplantae; Streptophyta; Magnoliopsida; Poales; Poaceae
Description: partial small subunit ribosomal RNA
Source: RNAcentral